GAAUUUUAUAUAAAUUUAUUAUAAUAAUUAAUUGAUUAAUUUUAAUAAAAUUUUAUAUUUGGUUGGGAGGAUAAUUAAAUUAUAAUAACUUUAAUUAAUAAUAAAGUCAUAGAUAAGUGAAUAUUAAUAAAAAAAAGAAUUAUUUAUAAAUUAUAUAAGAAUUAAUUACCUUAGGGAUAACAGCGUAAUAUUUUUAGAGAGUUCAUAUUGAUAAAAAUGUUUGC
RNAcentral lists this ribosomal RNA (224 nucleotides) under Octostruma betschi. RNAcentral describes it as "partial large subunit ribosomal RNA". Lineage: Eukaryota; Metazoa; Arthropoda; Insecta; Hymenoptera; Formicidae. The record is from RNAcentral.